Molecule: ribosomal RNA, 776 nt
Filed under: uncultured Neocallimastigales
Lineage: Eukaryota; Fungi; Neocallimastigomycota; Neocallimastigomycetes; Neocallimastigales
Description: partial large subunit ribosomal RNA
Rfam family: Eukaryotic large subunit ribosomal RNA
Source: RNAcentral
GAGAGAGAGACAUGCGCGCAUAUCAAUAAGCGGAGGAAAAGAAGCUAACAAGGAUUCCCCUAGUAACGGCGAGUGAAGCGGGAAGAGCUCAAAUUUGAAAUCUUAAAGGGUUUCCCUUUACGAAUUGUAGUUUAAAGAAGUGUUUUCUGUUGAGGUUUUGGUAAAAGUUCUUUGGAAUAGGACAUCAUAGAGGGUGAGAAUCCCGUAUUUGACCUUUACUUUCAACUUUGUGAUACACUUUCAAAGAGUCGGAUUGUUUGGGAAUGCAGUCCAAAAUGGGUGGUAAAGUUUCAUCUAAAGCUAAAUAUUGGCGAGAGACCGAUAGCGAACAAGUACCGUGAGGGAAAGAUGAAAAGAACUUUGAAAAGAGAGUUAAACAGUACGUGAAAUUGUCAAAAGGGAAGCGUUUGACACCAGUGUUGUUUUUCUGAAAAUCAAUUAAAGAACUGUUUAUGCUAAGCUGUUUAGACUUUAUCAGCUAACUGUUUAGUUUUGAGCUUUUCUUUAAUGCACUUUUCAGUUAACAAGUCAACAUCAAUUUCUUUUGCUGUAAAAAAGCUUGAGGAAGGUGGCUUGAGAUUCGUCUUAAGUGUUUAUAGCCUCUUGCCUAUGCAGUCGGAGAGAUUGAGGUCUGCAGCGUAGAUCCUUCGGGGCUAAAUGCAUUUGUGCUAAGUUAUAGCAUUUUAUAGACAACUUGUUGACUAUGAUUUGUCUUGUAGCUUACUCGCUUAUGUUAUUUUACCUACGCUUAGGAUGUUGACGCAUGAGAUAUACGC